Molecule: ribosomal RNA, 353 nt
Filed under: uncultured bacterium
Lineage: Bacteria
Description: bacterial SSU rRNA
Rfam family: Bacterial small subunit ribosomal RNA
Source: RNAcentral
AGAGUUUGAUCCUGGCUCAGGAUGAACGCUAGCUACAGGCUUAACACAUGCAAGUCGAGGGGCAGCAUGGUCUUAGCUUGCUAAGACCGAUGGCGACCGGCGCACGGGUGAGUAACGCGUAUCCAACCUGCCUUACACUCUUGGACAGCCUUCUGAAAGGGAGAUUAAUACAAGAUGUUAUCAUGAGUAAGCAUUUUCACAUGAUUAAAGGUUUACCGGUGUAAGAUGGGGAUGCGUUCCAUUAGAUAGGUAGGCGGGGUAACGGCCCACCUAGUCUUCGAUGGAUAGGGGUUCUGGGAGGAAGGUCCCCCACAUUGGAACUGAGACACGGUCCAAACUCCGUACGGGAGGCA